AGUGGCGCACGGGUGCGUAACACGUAUGCAACCUACCUCUGACUGGGGCAUAGCCCGGAGAAAUUCGGAUUAAUACCCCAUAACAUAAUGAUAGGGCAUCUUAUUAUUAUCAAAACUACGGUGGUCAGAGAUGGGCAUGCGGUUGAUUAGCUAGUUGGUGAGGUAACGGCUCACCAAGGCUACGAUCAAUAGGGGGUCUGAGAGGAUGUCCCCCCACACUGGUACUGAGACACGGACCAGACUCCUACGGGAGGCAGCAGUAGGGAAUAUUGGUCAAUGGACGCAAGUCUGAACCAGCCAUGCCGCGUGCAGGAUGACUGCCCUAUGGGUUGUAAACUGCUUUUAUCAGGGAAGAAACCCCUCUACGUGUAGAGGGCUGACGGUACCUGAGGAAUAAGGAUCGGCUAACUUCGUGCCAGCAGCCGCGGUAAUACGAAGGAUCCAAGCGUUGUCCGGAUUUACUGGGUUUAAAGGGUGCGUAGGCGGACUUUUAAGUCAGUGGUGAAAGCCGGUAGCUUAACUAUCGAAUUGCCAUUGAAACUGAAAGUCUCGAGUACGGUUGAGGUGGCUGGAAUGUAUCAUGUAGCGGUGAAAUGCUUAGAUAUGAUACAGAACACCAAUUGCGAAGGCAAGUCACUAAGCCGUAACUGACGCUGAGGCACGAAAGCGUGGGGGAGCAAACAGGAUUAGAUACCCCGGUAGUCCACGCCCU
This 712-nucleotide ribosomal RNA is filed under the name uncultured bacterium. RNAcentral's name for it is "bacterial SSU rRNA". It matches the Rfam family "Bacterial small subunit ribosomal RNA", at positions 94 to 803 of the family's 1533-position model. The record is from RNAcentral.